CUUAGGAUGGCAGAGUCAGGUAUUAAUGCCGGAGGCCUAAGACCCCCAGUCAGGGGCUCAAAUCCCCUUCCUAAUA
Molecule: transfer RNA, 76 nt
Filed under: Uroplatus fimbriatus (common flat-tail gecko)
Lineage: Eukaryota; Metazoa; Chordata; Lepidosauria; Squamata; Gekkonidae
Description: tRNA-Leu
Rfam family: tRNA
About the family: Transfer RNA (tRNA) molecules are approximately 80 nucleotides in length. Their secondary structure includes four short double-helical elements and three loops (D, anti-codon, and T loops).
Source: RNAcentral